UUUGGAGGGCAAGUCUGGUGCCAGCAGCCGCGGUAAUUCCAGCUCCAAUAGCGUAUAUUAAAGUUGUUGCAGUUAAAAAGCUCGUAGUUGAACCUUGGGUCUGGCUGGCCGGUCCGCCUCACCGCGAGUACUGGUCCGGCUGGACCUUUCCUUCUGGGGAACCCCAUGGCCUUCACUGGCUGUGGGGGAACCAGACUUAGCU
Molecule: ribosomal RNA, 202 nt
Filed under: Glomeromycota sp.
Lineage: Eukaryota; Fungi; Glomeromycota
Description: partial small subunit ribosomal RNA
Rfam family: Eukaryotic small subunit ribosomal RNA
Source: RNAcentral